GGGAGUGUAGCUCAAGGGAAUAGAGCGCCGAGCUUCUACCUCGGAUGAUGUGGGUUUAAGUCCUACCACUCCUG
RNAcentral lists this transfer RNA (74 nucleotides) under Microcoleus sp. FACHB-831. It matches the Rfam family "tRNA". Rfam says of the family: Transfer RNA (tRNA) molecules are approximately 80 nucleotides in length. Lineage: Bacteria; Bacillati; Cyanobacteriota; Cyanophyceae; Oscillatoriales; Microcoleaceae. The record is from Rfam by way of RNAcentral.